GCAAGGGUAAACUAAAUAAGUUGUCCGGUUCAUACCCGGAAUAUGAAAUUAAAUUUUUCCUUGUU
RNAcentral lists this transfer RNA (65 nucleotides) under Macridiscus semicancellata. Its description in RNAcentral is "tRNA-Met". Lineage: Eukaryota; Metazoa; Mollusca; Bivalvia; Venerida; Veneridae. The record is from RNAcentral. RNAcentral also lists the same sequence under 1 other name.